This is a long non-coding RNA of Arabidopsis thaliana (thale cress), 215 nucleotides long. RefSeq annotates it as other RNA. The transcript has a single exon. Lineage: Eukaryota; Viridiplantae; Streptophyta; Magnoliopsida; Brassicales; Brassicaceae. The record is from RefSeq.
AGUUCGUCCUCUCACAUAAUGCUGCAGUUGUUGUACAAAAGGUACAUUUACGAGUACUUUUAUUCUUCUCUUUCUAUCUUCCUUUGCCUUUGAGGCUUUUCUUGGUUCAUAUACUCUUACUUUUACUGCCAAUUAUUACCCAAAAUAUUCCCUUUAAUUUAAUUAAAUGGUUGUAUGUCUAGUGAUCUCUUAGUGGUGCCCUGCAUAACUCAUGA